Long non-coding RNA from Coregonus clupeaformis (lake whitefish), 1038 nucleotides. RefSeq lists it as uncharacterized. The transcript has 5 exons. NCBI's taxonomy places the organism in Eukaryota, Metazoa, Chordata, Actinopteri, Salmoniformes, Salmonidae. The record is from RefSeq and is a predicted model, not a curated record.
GCCCGGAGCUGCUGAGAGAAGCAGCGAAUUUGAUUGAGGAAGCUCUGAGCAGAAGUCCAACGGCUCCCGCGGCACCGGUGACUCCGGCAGCUCAGUCACAGCAGAUACCGGCCGCUCAAUCACGUACACCUGUCCAAGCGGAGGUAGCAAGGCUCUUUGCGCCAUAUAACAUUGGAGCCAGAAGGAAUAUGACGAGACGACCAGCACAAGUCCAAGUUAGCCGAAGAAGCUACACACACACUGUCUGUUGUUUGGCUGACCACAAUGCGGAUAAAAUUCCAAGCGUACUGUUUAAAGCUGAACUUCUUACUUCAGGACUUGGAGAGCAAAAAGUAACAUUUUCAGGGAAUGACCACGAUCCCAUGGUUAUGUUUUGUGUCAGGAGGAAUGGGCCGAACACUGCUAUUUGAGGGUGAACCUGACCAUCUUGUUCCAGCAGCAUCAGAGGCACUUAUUGAAAGCAACCUCUUCCGGGUUGCAGGAAGGAUGUUGGGCCACACCUUUCUGCAUGAUGGUCCCCAUGUCACAGGACUAAGUCCUGCUGUAAUUCAUGUACUGUUCAAUGGGGACCCUGAAAUGGCUACUGUUGUUACAGAAGACUGUCCUGAUCUGCACAUCAGGAGCAUCAUAGAACUGCUUGAACAUGAAGAUCUUACACCGGAACAGAAGGACACAGUUUCAGAUCUUUCCAUGUCUUGGGAUCUUCCGGCAGUCACCAAAACAAAUCGGAGAUGGCUACAUAACAAACUUCUACUCCAUGCAGUGAGUUCCUGCUGGUUAAGUGACAGAAUUCAUCGCUGUACUUGUUGAAAUUAUAGAAUGUGUUGUGAACCCUGGCUUGUUAUGUUAACACGAGAGUUUAAGUACUAGAGUUUUAAUGGAUUUUUAUAAAGCACUUUAUUGUGUUUAUUAACAUUUUUCCUACUGUGCCAACUUUUGUCAAAUUUGGGUUAAGGAUUUGGAUCAAAAAUGUGAUAUUUGAUUUUCUCCAUAUUGCCCAGCCCUAAUGUCAAUGCAUACACAGUUCAGAUGAAUUGA